AAUCCAGUUCCGAUAAGGCAAGACUUGGGCAAACAUUGCCAAUGAAGAGGAGAUAUAGAAACAUUGUUUCAUUUCUCCUCUUAUCUCUAUGCUUACUUUGUGUUUACUGCCAGGUGCAAAGGACAGAGAGGAUAACAAUAUAACAAUGACUGCCAGGGAGCUAAGAUGGAGGUGCCCAGUUGCAGGAUAAAGAGGUGUGGAUUUCUAUGUAGUAAAC
Non-coding RNA from Pelobates cultripes (western spadefoot toad), 217 nucleotides. NCBI's taxonomy places the organism in Eukaryota, Metazoa, Chordata, Amphibia, Anura, Pelobatidae. The record is from the annotation of a GenBank genome assembly.